CAACAGUUUCUUUUCGACUUCAGAUCUAAAUUCACAGCUGGUACGUUAAUUUAAUCCAAUGGCACAAAGUUGUGAGAACAAAAACUGGAGUACGUGAAAGGCUUCCCGAGUUCGAAGGAUGGAUUGCUCGGUUCUGUGCACCAACAGAGCAGCUUCCGUGUCGAAUUCUUCGUCGCAGGACUCGCAUUUACGCGAUACUGCCUUCUCAACGACGGUUUUAGGCACUUCGAGUUGCUUGGCUGGUAUCGUCUUCACGAUUUUCGCUCUGGAAACAUAGAACAGGGUUUAAGCAGACCUAAACAGCUAUUCAAGGUCGCGCAGAACGAAGACAUCAACGGGUUAAUUUGAAAAUGUUAGAACGGAAACAGCGAGAAGAUAAUGCUUCCUCGGAUAUUCUUGUGUUCCUAUGCGAUGAUUCUUUGAUGGCUGGUCGAAGAAAAUGUUUACUGAUAGAUGAUGAAGCUACUUACUGAACGAAGCUGGUCAAGCUGCAGGAAAUGAUUGGAUUUCUUGAUGAGGAAUGACAAACGUUGCACAGAGACACAGCUACAAAAAUGCUGAAUGAUGAUAAUUCUGAUUUUGAAAUUUUUCUUAUACUUCAUACACGUGGUACUAUUUUUGUUCAUGAUGUUGAAGAACCAUUUAUUUCAGAGAUUUUCAUUCAUAAUUAUUCGCUGAAUAGAAUAUAAAACGGAAUGUUUAUUGCAUCGUUUAUUUUUAUGAAGUUGCUUACAAAAAGAUGUUGCACCUGCUCCAAAUAAUUAACAAUAAUUCGAUGUAUCGUGAAAAUUAGGGCGGUUGAUAAUUAGUUGUACAUGCAUUCGAGGAAUAUAUUAUAUUUUAACACGUUGAGCGUCAAAUUUUUAAUUAAGUUGAAUGCUGUGCAGAGUCAUUAGCACUGCAAAUUAGGAAUACCAAAUAAUUAAAAAGAAAAUAAUAGAAAAAUAUUAUUUUAAAUGGCACUAAUUAAAAGCUUGCAAUUUGAGACAAUCAACGUGUUAAUUAUAGAAACUUCUAAUUAUGUGGAAGUGUUAAUUACUGUAGGCUUCCCGAGGAAAAGUGGCGAUGUAGGGAAGGUGAUCCUCCAAUAUAUAGUCUUUAGCCUCCCACCACUUUAAAUUGAUAUUUAUGUUACUAAAUUUUAUAACAUUUAAUAAUUAAAAAUUAUAUCAUUUUUCUUUCUAAUUUAUAUUUAUACUUUUAAUAUUAAUAUUUUUAAAAUAUGAUCCUGAGAAUUCCUACUUCUCCUAUAUGGCCAUUUGCCCUAGGGAAGCCUACUUUGCUCGAUACUGCACGUUUAGUUAACAGUAUGGUCAUAUGGCGUUCAACGUGUUAAUUACCUAAUUAAAAAUGACGAAUUUAGACUUUCUUUCUCAUUAAUUGAUGCAAAUAAUUCUAUCUACACUUAAUAAUUCACUAAAGCGACGUAUUACUAAUAAUUAUCAACUACAAUAAUAAAAAAAAAAAUUGUUUCUCUUUGCUUCGCACGAGGUGCAAGUAGAAGCCACACAUCAAAUAAGCUUCUCUCUAAAUUGUCUGAUACGAUUAUAUUUUUCAAUUACAAAUUAAUACAAGUGCAAUUUUACAAUGUUCGAUUAAAAAAAAGAAAAAAAAAAAUAGAAUUAAUUCCUAGGAUAACUAUUACGUAUGCUGUUUCUCGUACAUUUAUUAACAUAAUUGAAGACACUAUCACAAAUUGAAGUACUGGUUCUAUUUUAAUAACGAUUGUUCUUGCACUUAACUUAUUUGCACGUAUCAAAGCAUUAAGAGUGCUAUAGUUGGCUGCCUGAUAAGUUCAAAAUGUAUGACACUUUACAUUUAUCGAUUUUACAACUUGCUGUAUAAUUAUUCCUUAAUUCGGAUGCUAUAAAUGCACAUUAUUCCAAAUGCAUCGCGUAACAACUAAGGCACUAUCAUAUACAUUGUGUGUGUGCAUUUAUUUAAUCAAAAGCACCAUUCGCACGAUUUUAAUAAUUAAAGCAGCAGAUCACGUGUGCGUAUAAAAAGAAAAGAAAAGAAAAAGAAGGACUUUGAGUAUUCGAGUAACGUGACGUAAAAGAAGAUCUUCCAAAGCGUGGACGGUUGUGUGUCGAUAAAAUCAUACUCGUCAAGGAAUUUAUCAUUCGACGCUUGUGCAAGACGAAUCUAAAGUAGAAAUUAUGAAAAUAUAAAGUGUUAACGUCGUAAGAGCUAUUUUACACACUUUUAACCUUCGUAUUCUAUAUAUGCGACUUGCAGUUUUCAUAGGUUUAAAAAAAACAAGCGAAGAAGGUUAAUUUACAAUUAUAUCUAAACGUUAAUUAAAAAAAAAGAAAGAAAAAUGGAAUUCUUAACAGAAUGUAUAUAAUAAUUAUCGCGGUAUAAACUACAAUUUAAUGAAAAUAUUGUCAAAGGCGAGAUUCUAUUAAGAAGCUCGUGAUUUAUAACAAAUUCGACCGAUUUCGAUCAAACUGUGGAAAUUUACAAUUUUAUGUAGCAAUUUGUUGAAUGAAAUAAUAUAUAAAAUUGCGAACAAUGAUCAAAUAUAAAAUUACGAAUGUGACGAAUAAAUAUUCUAAAUGCUAACAAUGAAAUAUCACUGUCAAUAUUUCGAUUGAUCUCGAUUUCAUCGUAUAAAAAUAAACGAACAUCCGAACGAUCGAAUACCUACCCUUGCGAACAAUCUAAACAUCCGUAUCGUUUCAUUCAUUAUUACAAAUAUAAAAGAAAGUUGUAUCUGUAUAUUCAUAAUUAUUUGAAAAAUUGACGAAUUCCUAUGCAGCUGUAAUUUCCAGAAGCUGAAAAUAUACUAUUUUCAAUAUA
Molecule: non-coding RNA, 2802 nt
Organism: Osmia lignaria (orchard mason bee)
Lineage: Eukaryota; Metazoa; Arthropoda; Insecta; Hymenoptera; Megachilidae
Source: RefSeq, a predicted model, not a curated record